Long non-coding RNA from Bos grunniens (domestic yak), 959 nucleotides. The record is from Ensembl. Lineage: Eukaryota; Metazoa; Chordata; Mammalia; Artiodactyla; Bovidae.
CGUGGGGAGAUUUCCAGACCCAAGUCUUUGGUGGUGGUGUCGAGGAAGGGACGGAAGCCUCAGAACGUAGGUCCCCCGUACCCCAGCCCCAGGAGAAACCAGAAGUGCAGGUGCUGGGCCCAUCCCAGCUGAGAAGGCAGUGAUUCCUGGCGUCAUUAUCUCAAGGGCGAUGUGCGUGCGCAGUGGGAGGGGUGAUGGUUAGUGGGUCCCGCCACCCCACUUUGGGAUCCAGGGCUGGUGAAGUGUGGUGGUUCCCGACGCUGAGCCCUCCAUGCCCUCGUGCUCCCGGCCCCCUGUCCCUAUACCUGUCAUUUUAUUUCCCUUUCCUGAUUCAUUAACCACAAGCUAGUUGGCCACAGGCCCCACCCUGAUCACUUGGAGACAAAAUGUUCAGGACACUGGGCCGGGGCUGGAGCUGAGGGUGGCAGGAAGCUGGGCCGGGCCUCCGUGUUCACAGGGACAGUGGUCCAGGAGCGCCUCGAGGGCAGACCGCCCCUGUUCUCCAGGAGGGCCUUCUCGGGGCCCUUGUCUCCCAAGAUGACUCUUCCUCACUACCCGAAGCCCUGAAACCAGCAUUCCCAGCGGCAGGAAGAUGGAUGAGCUGGCCUCCACUUCCGGCUCUCCUCCCCCGCGCCGGCUGGAACUUGCGUCAGUCGUGGCUGCUCGGUUGCGGUGGGAAGACCUGGAGGCUUCAGCACGCUGGGGCUUUCCCAGGCCGCCUUCCUCCAGAUCCAGGAGGCCUCCGGGCUGGGUGCCAGGGAGAGCGUGCCGCUUCCAGCCACCUUGGAUCACCUGGCUGGGUGCAACUUGGGGACAGAACCAGCGGCUGGGUUCAGGUAAGCGAGUCGCUCCCUGCCCGACUGACUUGGAGAAAGAAGCUUGGUUCUGUCGGGAGGUCUGAGACUUCAACAGACCCUUUUAUCUGGUGGGCUUGGGAGCGCAAAAGCUUUGGACCCUAA